This is a long non-coding RNA of Cygnus olor (mute swan), 483 nucleotides long. RefSeq lists it as uncharacterized. NCBI's taxonomy places the organism in Eukaryota, Metazoa, Chordata, Aves, Anseriformes, Anatidae. The record is from RefSeq and is a predicted model, not a curated record. The transcript has 2 exons.
UGAUCCUCGUAACUCCACAAAAUUUCCUGACCCUGACAAGUCAGCACAAUAUUCAGGAAUGGGAAGGAAGUUAGGACCCCAGUGAGACGUUUAGAAGUUAACAUUAUUAGCUAGUCAUUUGGAAGAAUUCAGCUGGGAUAAGGAAGGAGGAAAAAUGCUGAGGAACCUUUUCCUGAGAACUGUUUUAAUGUGUUACCUCCAGAACCCAAGGCUGUUACUUUGGAUGGGAAUGACUUUCAGCUAUUAUCAGUCUGGGUGAGAUUCGAAAUAAGAAUUGGUGCUUUUUUCAAAAUUUUUGCACCAUCAGUAUGUCCCAUCCCCUAAUGUGUCUUAUAAUAACAUAACAUCUUUUACAGAAAUAGCCAUCUUCAGAGUCGAAAACACAGAAGUCAUUAUUUCUAACUCCACUGCUCUUAGAUAGCUCUUCAGUCUUUCUGAAUAAUGGAGACAAUGACUUGUGAUGGAUUAAACUGUUCUGACACA